Molecule: ribosomal RNA, 484 nt
Filed under: uncultured bacterium
Lineage: Bacteria
Description: bacterial SSU rRNA
Rfam family: Bacterial small subunit ribosomal RNA
Source: RNAcentral
UUGAACGCUAGCGGCAUGCCUUACACAUGCAAGUCGAACGGCAGCACGGGGGCAACCCUGGUGGCGAGUGGCGAACGGGUGAGUAAUGCAUCGGAACGUGCCCAUCGAUGGGGGAUAACUGCGCGAAAGCGUUGCUAAUACCGCAUACGACCUACGGGUGAAAGCAGGGGACCGCAAGGCCUUGCGUCGAUGGAGCGGCCGAUGCCGGAUUAGCUAGUUGGUGAGGUAAAGGCUCACCAAGGCGACGAUCCCGUAGCUGGUCUGAGAGGACGACCAGCCACACUGGGACUGAGACACGGCCCAGCCUCCUACGGGAGGCAGCAGUGGGGAAUCUUGGACAAUGGGCGAAAGCCUGAUCCAGCAAUGCCGCGUGUGGGAAGAAGGCCUUCGGGUUGUAAACCACUUUUGGCGGGAAAGAAAUGGUCUGUGCUAAUACCACGGAUUGAUGACGGUACCCGCAGAAUAAGCACCGGCUAACUACGUG